GACGAACGCUGGCGGCGUGCCUAAUACAUGCAAGUUGAGCGCUGAAGGCUGGUACUUGUACCUACUGGUUGAGCAGCGCACGGGUGAGUAACGCGUGGGGAAUCUGCCUUUGAGCGGGGGACAACAUUUGGAAACGAAUGCUAAUACCGCAUAAAAACUUUAAACACAAGUUUUAAGUUUGAAAGAUGCAAUUGCAUCACUCAAAGAUGAUCCCGCGUUGUAUUAGCUAGUUGGUGAGGUAAAGGCUCACCAAGGCGAUGAUACAUAGCCGACCUGAGAGGGUGAUCGGCCACAUUGGGACUGAGACACGGCCCAAACUCCUACGGGAGGCAGCAGUAGGGAAUCUUCGGCAAUGGACGAAAGUCUGACCGAGCAACGCCGCGUGAGUGAAGAAGGUUUUCGGAUCGUAAAACUCUGUUGGUAGAGAAGAACGUUGGUGAGAGUGGAAAGCUCAUCAAGUGACGGUAACUACCCAGAAAGGGACGGCUAACUACGUG
Molecule: ribosomal RNA, 497 nt
Filed under: uncultured bacterium
Lineage: Bacteria
Description: partial 16S ribosomal RNA
Rfam family: Bacterial small subunit ribosomal RNA
Source: RNAcentral